RNAcentral lists this ribosomal RNA (528 nucleotides) under Leptodactylus luctator. RNAcentral describes it as "partial 16S ribosomal RNA". It matches the Rfam family "Bacterial large subunit ribosomal RNA", at positions 1911 to 2587 of the family's 2925-position model. The record is from RNAcentral. Lineage: Eukaryota; Metazoa; Chordata; Amphibia; Anura; Leptodactylidae.
CCAGUGACUCUGUUCAACGGCCGCGGUAUCCUAACCGUGCGAAGGUAGCGUAAUCACUUGUUCUUUAAAUGAGGACUAGUAUGAAUGGCACCACGAAGGUUAUACUGUCUCCUUUCUUUAAUCAGUGAAACUAAUCUCUCCGUGAAGAAGCGGGGAUAUAAUUAUAAGACGAGAAGACCCUAUGGAGCUUUAAACGUGAGUAACAAUUGCCCGCCAUAAUAUUUUUCCCCGGAAAUUAACCACAAUACUUAGGCAUCUUGAUUACAAGUUUUAGGUUGGGGUGACCGCGGAGCAGAGAAUAACCUCCGCAGUGAAUGGAACUUAUUUCCUAAACCCAGGGCUACGACCCUAAGCAUCAAUAAAUUGACACCAAUUGACCCAAUAUUUUGAUCAAUGAACCAAGUUACCCUAGGGAUAACAGCGCAAUCCACUUCAAGAGCCCCUAUCGACAAGUGGGUUUACGACCUCGAUGUUGGAUCAGGGUAUCCCAGUGGUGCAGCCGCUACUAAAGGUUCGUUUGUUCAACGA